CCGAACCAACCCGGAAUCUAUCCCGCACCAACCCCAUUUUUAAGCCCCAGAAGUCCCAGCCCCCAACCGGCCUCCGUGAAUUAUUGCCACCGCCGGCGGCGGCGACAACGACUACUUCUGAAGACGUCUGAUCUCUAAGUUUCAUCUCUUAUAGCAACUUUAAGGAAAAAAUAUUAGGUCGGAAGAUCUGCUUCCAAUCAUGACCAUCUCGGACGACGAGGACGAUUUCUUGGCACACUUCCUCGAAUCAGAGGUCCUCUCCGAAGUCUCGGAUCAGGAAGAGGCGGAGGAGGCAGAGAAGGAAGAGGAGAAGGUGGAGGAGAAGGAGGAGGAGGAGCUAAAAGCGAAAAGAGUUCGUUUAAAUGAAAUUGAGAAUCCAAAGGAGAAAGAGAAAGGG
This 397-nucleotide unclassified non-coding RNA is filed under the name Hevea brasiliensis (rubber tree). The record is from RNAcentral. Lineage: Eukaryota; Viridiplantae; Streptophyta; Magnoliopsida; Malpighiales; Euphorbiaceae.